Molecule: long non-coding RNA, 2912 nt
Organism: Paramacrobiotus metropolitanus
Lineage: Eukaryota; Metazoa; Tardigrada; Eutardigrada; Parachela; Macrobiotidae
Exons: 5
Source: RefSeq, a predicted model, not a curated record
UUUUGUUUAAGAGAGUUGCAUACUGCAGUAUUUAUACCGGUAACUGCAGUCUGUAAACUACCCAUGCACGACGUUAACCAUAAUUAUUAUCCUUCGCUGUCUCUACUCUACCGGUAGAUGUUAGAGUUCCCUGUUGAAACAGAAAAUUGGAUUACCGAUUUCAAAACAAGACGGAAACCGAAGGCCAGCCCUCACUUAUUUUUGUAAGCUGAGAUUUGACGAGUUCCUCGGACUACGUAUUGCUGAUCUUUACUUUUGUGACGACAUCCGGCGUAUAAGAAAGUGGAAUGGAGCGUUUAGCAGUCGGCAAUAUCAUCACGGGAACAGCAACCUACGUGUUACAGUGGAUUGAAGUGUGCAUGGUCAUUUAUUGGUUCGACGGCCCGUUCGCGCAGUACGCGACACUCAGUAAUCGGACAGUGUCGACAUCAGUUCUUCUAUGGGUCACCGGAAUCCUGUUCCUCAUGUACGCUAGAGUCAAUCACAUCUGUCAAUCCUCGGCGCCGCACCUAACCGAAAGCUUUCGAAAUUUCACCCGCACAGCUUUGAUUGUCGUGUUCAUCGCGAGUGGCACGGGCAUUGUCGGAUUCGUGGGUGAAUACCAGCUUUCAAGACAGUUAGCGUGUGGCAACAACGGUGCAUCGGGAACUUUUCGGCUGGUGAUAAACGUAAUGAUUGGUUCCAUGUGGCUCGGCAAUGGUAUCCUUUCGACGAUUGGCAGCGUUGUUCUGCUCAUACAAACCUUUUGUGAACAACAACGUGCCGCGAUAGGAGAAAACGGCCAAAGAAUUGUCAUGGUUACCGCAUAUCGGGAAGCGGAUACGGAAGCAUUUUGCACGAUUGAUGACCUUAACACUGGCCAGGAUUUUGACGCUACACGCAUCAAGGAAGAGGGGGAGUGCCGCCGUGAAAGGGUCUGCCGCUACUCGACUUCAACAGAGAACCACGAAUCGGGGGAAGUGCACUUACAGGACGAAGACGCCACCGAGACGCUAUCGAUUCUUCCAAAACCUGCCUGAGUACCCACUGCCCACUGGUCGAACUGCAGUCACUGACCGGAAGACACCAGAAAUCGUCCGGUAUUCACCGCGUUUUAUGAAGUAUUGUCCCCAUUCUCCCGUCUUUCGUCCCAUCAAAUACUUUGUUCGAUAACGGACGCUUGCUAACUGGACCUUAUGGAAAGUUUAAAAAUUCUAGUUUUUCAUAGUACAAUUUCUGCUCAUAUGUAGACAUUCCUACAUGUAAUCGUUAUUCUUCACAAAAAACACGUAGAAGUAUUCAAUAAAAUAAAGCUCCUUACAAGCGUUAUUAAUUUAGAGUAAAUACAUCGUUGCAGUGCGCACAUUUUUGAACCUCGUUAUACUCUGUACGAGUAUACCGUGUAUGUCAUAAUUUGUGAAUUUUUCUGAGUACAGUACCUUGUAAAAUAUUGUAUUUCCGUCUUCAUGUUCUUCAUAUUUCCGUCCUUCAGAACAUUUCGUCGAAAUUAGCGUACUUUGUAAAAAAAAAUUGUACUUACUUACUGUGCUUGUAAAAGCGGUUCGUAUUUUGAACAUCAGGCAUAUCGAAAACCACAAUUUUCAUAUAAUAAUUAUUCUACAAUGUCUGACAAUGAGUAAUCGCGUACAUUAUCGCAGUUUUGCCGCAUUCCAUGCAACUAUUUUACGAGAUAACUCUGAAUAAGUUUGCUGUUUGUUUUUACUAGAAAACGCUCCAGACGCCCGAUUCAUCAUGGUACAAUCUUAGCCCAGCUGAAAAAAUAGGAGCAAAGAAACUUAUGUAUAUCGAGUACGUAUACACAAUGGAGUCACGGUAGACAUGUUCAAGUAAUACAGUACGGCUACACUGCAUCGACAAAGCUUUUGUUGAAUUCAAACAGUCAGAAGUAUGCUUGGCUGCCUUGGCACACAGAUUAGUAAGCACUAGCAUGCUUAGCACAGCUCCAACAUACCUUGGCCAUAAUAAUAUUGUGCACUUUGGUCAUACCGAUACAUAUGGUCCCUUUUGUAACAUGGUUCCGGUAGUCCCUAACAUUAAAAAUUUAAAAUUAACCCUUGUCGCGUAAGAGUCGAUGCGAAUACUGUCACGCUGUCUGCUUGUUGUAUGGAGCAGCCACCCGGCAUUUUUUUAGCCUUCGCCAAUAUUGUCACGGGAUCGUUAACCUACGCUUUAGGAUUGGUUGGAGUUUGCAGUAAGCAUGGUUAAUUCUUUUUCUUUUCGGCUUAUGCCCAGAUUUUUUUGGUGUACGUAUAUUACGAAUAAUGAUGAUGCUUGUUGGCCGAAACUGUCAAAUCUGAAAAAUCUAAACCUUUGCAAAAUCAUUUAUUAAUUAGGUAAUCAUUAAUGAUACUAAAUCAAACUGAUAUCUUCAAUAAUUAACUAUUGUCCAUAAGAAGUCUACAGUACGGGAUGUACGGCAUAUUCCUGGUUAAUGUUUUUGGAAAACAUGUUGUGUUGCUUAACCAUGCAGUGUCGACUUCUUGAUCCGAGCUGCUCUCCCAUUCCGUGGUGCUCUGUAAUCUGACGGCGCCGACAUCGGGUCAUAUAUGGGUUACCGGAUUCCUGCUACAUCUGUACGUCCGACUGAACCAUGUCUACCAGUCCUGUGUGCCGCAUCCAACCGUAAGCACCGUCAACAUCACUCGUGCAGUUUUGUUUGUCGUGUUUCACGCGAAUAUCGCUGCCUUUGGUGGUUCCAUGGGUGAAUAGCUGAUUGCCGUGGGAGCACAUAACGGAAACUGCACAUUGUACCCCUGGUCCCCUGAAAUAAUGUUAACGAUGCAUCGGAAGGUCAUCGCCUGCGUACGUGGUAGUGAUUCAUGCAGCACUCGGAUGUCUGUGGUUCGGCAAUGCUGUCUUCUCAACGGCUGGCAGAGUGUUUCUCUUCAUUCGAACCUUUUCUCAACAACAAC